UGGGGAAUUUUGCGCAAUGGGGGAAACCCUGACGCAGCAACGCCACGUGAGUGAGGAAGGUCUUCGGGUCGUAAAGCUCUGUCAGGCGGGAAGAAAUGCAUGGAGGUGAACAGCCGCCAUGCUUGACGGUACCGCCAGAGGAAGCACCGGCUAACUCCGUGCCAGCAGCCGCGGUAAUACGGGGGGUGCAAGCGUUGUUCGGAAUCAUUGGGCGUAAAGAGCGUGUAGGCGGCUUGGUAAGUCAGAUGUGAAAGCCCUGGGCUCAACCCGGGAAGUGCAUUUGAAACUGCCAGGCUCGAGUAGGGGAGAGGGAAGUGGAAUUCCUGGUGUAGAGGUGAAAUUCGUAGAUAUCAGGAGGAACACCGGUGGCGAAGGCGACUUCCUGGCCCUAUACUGACGCUGAGACGCGAGAGCGUGGGUAGCAAACAG
RNAcentral lists this ribosomal RNA (429 nucleotides) under uncultured bacterium. Its description in RNAcentral is "bacterial SSU rRNA". It matches the Rfam family "Bacterial small subunit ribosomal RNA", at positions 355 to 775 of the family's 1533-position model. The record is from RNAcentral.